RNAcentral lists this ribosomal RNA (1500 nucleotides) under metagenome. RNAcentral's name for it is "bacterial LSU rRNA". It matches the Rfam family "Bacterial large subunit ribosomal RNA", at positions 1279 to 2911 of the family's 2925-position model. The record is from RNAcentral.
AGAUCACUAGUGAGAAUGAUGACAUGAGUAGCGACAAACAGGGUGAGAGACCCUGUCGCCGAAAGUCCAAGGGUUCCUGCUUAAAGCUAAUCUGAGCAGGGUAAGCCGACCCCUAAGGCGAGGCCGAAAGGCGUAGUCGAUGGGAACCAGGUUAAUAUUCCUGGGCCAGGAGGAUGUGACGGAUCCCGAGGGUAGUUUCUUCUUAUCGGAUUGAAGAGGCUGCUUAGGGGUUCCUGGAAAUAGCCCUCCAUUAGAUCGUACCCUAAACCGACACAGGUGGACUGGUAGAGAAUACCAAGGCGCUUGAGAGAACUAUGUUGAAGGAACUCGGCAAAAUACCUCCGUAAGUUCGCGAGAAGGCCCCGGUUUCUACGAAAGUAUUGACUGGGGGCACAAACUAGGGGGUGGCGACUGUUUACUAAAAACACAGGGCUCUGCGAAGUCGCAAGACGACGUAUAGGGUCUGACGCCUGCCCGGUGCUGGAAGGUUAAAGGGAGGGGUGCAAGCUCUGAACUGAAGCCCCAGUAAACGGCGGCCGUAACCAUAACGGUCCUAAGGUAGCGAAAUUCCUUGUCGGGUAAGUUCCGACCUGCACGAAUGGCGUAACGACUUCCCCGCUGUCUCCAACAUAGACUCAGCGAAAUUGAAUUGCCUGUCAAGAUGCAGGCUUCCCGCGGUUAGACGGAAAGACCCCGUGCACCUUUACUACAGCUUCACACUGGCAUUAGGCCGAACAUGUGCAGGAUAGGUGGUGGGCUUUGAAGCAGGAACGCUAGUUUCUGUGGAGCCUCCCUUGAGAUACCACCCUUGUUCUGCUUGAUGUCUAACCGCGGUCCGUUAUCCGGAUCCGGGACCCUGUGUGGCGGGUAGUUUGACUGGGGCGGUCGCCUCCUAAAGCGUAACGGAGGCGCGCGAAGGUUGGCUCAGAGCGGUCGGAAAUCGCUCGUUGAGUGCAAUGGCAGAAGCCAGCCUGACUGCGAGACUGACAAGUCGAGCAGAGUCGAAAGACGGCCAUAGUGAUCCGGUGGUCCCAAGUGGAGGGCCAUCGCUCAACGGAUAAAAGGUACGCCGGGGAUAACAGGCUGAUACUGCCCAAGAGUCCAUAUCGACGGCAGUGUUUGGCACCUCGAUGUCGGCUCAUCUCAUCCUGGGGCUGGAGCAGGCCCCAAGGGUACGGCUGUUCGCCGUUUAAAGAGGUACGUGAGCUGGGUUUAGAACGUCGUGAGACAGUUCGGUCCCUAUCUGCCGUGGGUGUAGGAUACUUGAGAGGAGUUGCCCCUAGUACGAGAGGACCGGGGUGAACGAACCACUGGUGGACCAGUUGUCGUGCCAACGGCAGUGCUGGGUAGCUAUGUUCGGACAGGAUAACCGCUGAAGGCAUCUAAGCGGGAAGCCCCCCUAAAAACAAGGUAUCCCUGAGAGCCGUGGUAGACCACCACGUCGAUAGGCCAGAGAUGUAAGCGCAGCAAUGCGUUCAGUUGACUGGUACUAACUGCUCU